RNAcentral lists this ribosomal RNA (299 nucleotides) under Schizochiton incisus. RNAcentral's name for it is "partial 28S ribosomal RNA". It matches the Rfam family "Eukaryotic large subunit ribosomal RNA", at positions 666 to 946 of the family's 3401-position model. The record is from RNAcentral. Lineage: Eukaryota; Metazoa; Mollusca; Polyplacophora; Chitonida; Schizochitonidae.
CCAAGGAGUCUAACAUGUGCGCGAGUCAUGGGGUCUUACGAAACCCAAAGGCGCAAUGAAAGUGAAGGCUUCGGCCCAGGUGGGAUCCCGGUCUUCUGGGCGGGGCGCACCACCGGCCCGUCUCGUCUGCGUUGCAGUGAGGCGGAGCAAGAGCGUACACGUUGGGACCCGAAAGAUGGUGAACUAUGCCUGAGUAGGACGAAGCCAGAGGAAACUCUGGUGGAAGUCCGUAGCGAUUCUGACGUGCAAAUCGAUCGUCGAACUUGGGUAUAGGGGCGAAAGACUAAUCGAACCAUCUA